GCGGACGUGGCGAAACUGGUAGACGCAAGGGACUUAAAAUCCCUCGGCCGCGAGGCUGUACGGGUUCGAUUCCCGUCGUCCGCACCA
RNAcentral lists this transfer RNA (87 nucleotides) under Hoeflea sp. BAL378. RNAcentral describes it as "tRNA-Leu". It matches the Rfam family "tRNA". From Rfam's summary of the family: Transfer RNA (tRNA) molecules are approximately 80 nucleotides in length. RNAcentral also lists the same sequence under 3 other names. Lineage: Bacteria; Pseudomonadati; Pseudomonadota; Alphaproteobacteria; Hyphomicrobiales; Rhizobiaceae. The record is from RNAcentral.